RNAcentral lists this ribosomal RNA (301 nucleotides) under uncultured bacterium. RNAcentral describes it as "partial 16S ribosomal RNA". It matches the Rfam family "Bacterial small subunit ribosomal RNA", at positions 509 to 807 of the family's 1533-position model. The record is from RNAcentral.
CAGUAGCCGCGGUAAUACAGAGGGUGCAAGCGUUAAUCGGAAUUACUGGGCGUAAAGCGUGCGUAGGCGGUGAGUUAAGUCUGCUGUGAAAUCCCCGGGCUCAACCUGGGAAUGGCAGUGGAUACUGGCUCGCUAGAGUGUGUCAGAGGAUGGUGGAAUUCCCGGUGUAGCGGUGAAAUGCGUAGAGAUCGGGAGGAACAUCAGUGGCGAAGGCGGCCAUCUGGGACAACACUGACGCUGAGGCACGAAAGCGUGGGGAGCAAACAGGAUUAGAUACCCGAGUAGUCCCUGUCUCUUAUAC